UACGAAGGGGCUAGCGUUGUUCGGAAUGACUGGGCGUAAAGCGCACGUAGGCGGACAUUUAAGUCAGGGGUGAAAUCCCGGGGCUCAACCUCGGAACUGCCUUUGAUACUGGGUGUCUGGAGUGUGGAAGAGGUGAGUGGGAAUUCCGAGUGUAGAGGUGAAAUUCGUAGAUAUUCGGAGGAACACCAGUGGCGAAGGCGGCUCACUGGUCCAUUACUGACGCUGAGGUGCGAAAGCGUGGGGAGCAAACAGG
RNAcentral lists this ribosomal RNA (253 nucleotides) under uncultured bacterium. RNAcentral describes it as "partial 16S ribosomal RNA". It matches the Rfam family "Bacterial small subunit ribosomal RNA", at positions 524 to 776 of the family's 1533-position model. The record is from RNAcentral.